This 313-nucleotide ribosomal RNA is filed under the name uncultured bacterium. RNAcentral's name for it is "bacterial SSU rRNA". It matches the Rfam family "Bacterial small subunit ribosomal RNA", at positions 28 to 334 of the family's 1533-position model. The record is from RNAcentral.
GAUAAACGCUGGCGGCGCACAUAAGACAUGCAAGUCGAACGAACUUAACCAUUAGUUUACUAUUGGAGCGGUUAGUGGCGGACUGGUGAGUAACACGUAAGCAACCUGCCUAUCAGAGGGGAACAACAGUUAGAAAUGACUGCUAAUACCGCAUAAGCGCACAGCAUCGCAUGAUGCAGUGUGAAAAACUCCGGUGGUGUGAGAUGGACCCGCGUUGGAUUAGCUAGUUGGCAGGGCAGCGGCCUACCAAGGCGACGAUCCAUAGCCGGCCUGAGAGGGUGAACGGCCACAUUGGGACUGAGACACGGCCCAG